Molecule: long non-coding RNA, 438 nt
Filed under: Monodelphis domestica (gray short-tailed opossum)
Lineage: Eukaryota; Metazoa; Chordata; Mammalia; Didelphimorphia; Didelphidae
Description: lncRNA (ENSMODG00000040531.1)
Source: RNAcentral
GUCUAUUUUGAGUUAAUCAACCAAAAACUUAAAAACAAUUUUUUUCAGACAGCUCCUUUGAUCUGCAGCUUGGAUCUUCUCCUGGUGAGUAGGCUUGGACUGGAACUUUGGCACUUGGACUGCUUCUGGGAGGACCACUCCUGGAUCUCUCCUUUGAAGUCCAUCUUGGGUCCUGUGGUGACACACAAGUUCUGAAGCAAUAACUAUAGAUACAUAUGGAAUUGAAGAAAGAACCAUGAACACAGAUGUCCAUUGAUAUAGUGCUGUCUUUUCAUUGGACCAAAACAAGGUGGACAGCUGUCGACAAAGAGAACUGCUUCAAAGAGAACUACUACUGCCUUUAAUUCCCCAAACUCCAUCCUCCAGAGUAUUAUCCACCAGUAAAGUGGCAAAGAACUGGAAAUGGAAGCGAUGUCUAUCAUUCAAUGGAAUGUGAUC